ACGGCUCAGUAACACGUGGACAACCUACCCUAAGGAGGGGGAUAACCCCGGGAAACUGGGGAUAAUACCCCAUAGACUAGAGAAGCUGGAAUGCUCUCAAGUCCAAAGGUCCGCCGCCUUAGGAUGGGUCUGCGGUCGAUUAGGUUGUUGUUGGGGUAACGGCCCAACAAGCCCGUGAUCGAUACGGGUUGUGAGAGCAAGAGCCCGGAGAUGGAUUCUGAGACACGAAUCCAGGCCCUACGGGGCGCAGCAGGCGCGAAAACUUUACAAUGCGGGAAACCGUGAUAAGGGAACCCCGAGUGCCCGUAAAUUCGGGCUGUCCAUCAGCGUAAAUAACUGGUGAAGAAAGGGCCGGGCAAGACCGGUGCCAGCCGCCGCGGUAAUACCGGCGGCUCGAGUGGUGGCCACUAUUAUUGGGCUUAAAGCGUCCGUAGCUUGGUUGUUAAGUCUCUUGGGAAAUCUACCGGCUCAACCGGUAGGCGUUCAGGAGAUACUGGCAAUCUAGGGACCGGGAGAGGUGAGAGGUACUCCAGGGGUAGGAGUGGAAUCCUGUAAUCCUUGGGGGACCACCUGUGGCGAAGGCGUCUCACUAGAACGGCUCCGACAGUGAGGGACGAAAGCUGGGGGAGCAAACCGGAUUAGAUACCCGGGUAGUCCCAGCUGUAAACGAUGCGCGUUAGGUGUAUCGGUGACCACGAGUCACCGAGGUGCCGAAGGGAAACCGUGAAACGUGCCGCCUGGGAAGUACGGUCGCAAGGCUGAAACUUAAAGGAAUUGGCGGGGGAGCAC
Molecule: ribosomal RNA, 789 nt
Filed under: Methanolinea sp. enrichment culture clone L35A3_11
Lineage: Archaea; Methanobacteriati; Methanobacteriota; Methanomicrobia; Methanomicrobiales; Methanoregulaceae
Description: bacterial SSU rRNA
Rfam family: Archaeal small subunit ribosomal RNA
Source: RNAcentral